AACGAACGCUGGCGGCAUGCCUAACACAUGCAAGUCGAACGAGAUCUUCGGGUCUAGUGGCGCACGGGUGCGUAACGCGUGGGAAUCUGCCCUUUGGUUCGGAAUAACAGUUGGAAACGACUGCUAAUACCGGAUGAUGACGAAAGUUCAAAGAUUUAUCGCCAGAGGAUGAGCCCGCGUAGGAUUAGCUAGUUGGUGUGGUAAAGGCGCACCAAGGCGACGAUCCUUAGCUGGUCUGAGAGGAUGAUCAGCCACACUGGGACUGAGACACGGCCCAGACUCCUACGGGAGGCAGCAGUGGGGAAUAUUGGACAAUGGGCGAAAGCCUGAUCCAGCAAUGCCGCGUGAGUGAUGAAGGCCUUAGGGUUGUAAAGCUCUUUUGCCCGGGAUGAUAAUGACAGUACCGGGAGAAUAAGCUCCGGCUAACUCCGUGCCAGCCGCCGCGGUAA
Molecule: ribosomal RNA, 449 nt
Filed under: uncultured bacterium
Lineage: Bacteria
Description: partial 16S ribosomal RNA
Rfam family: Bacterial small subunit ribosomal RNA
Source: RNAcentral